GAUGAACGCUGGUGGCGUGCCUAACACAUGCAAGUCGAGCGAUUCUCUUCGGAGAAGAGCGGCGGACGGGUGAGUAACGCGUGGGUAACCUGCCCUGUACACACGGAUAACAUACCGAAAGGUAUGCUAAUACGAGAUAACAUGCUUUUAUCGCAUGGUAGAAGUAUCAAAGCUUUUGCGGUACAGGAUGGACCCGCGUCUGAUUAGCUAGUUGGUGAGGUAACGGCUCACCAAGGCGACGAUCAGUAGCCGACCUGAGAGGGUGAUCGGCCACAUUGGAACUGAGACACGGUCCAAACUCCUACGGGAGGCAGCAGUGGGGAAUAUUGCACAAUGGGCGAAAGCCUGAUGCAGCAACGCCGCGUGAGCGAUGAAGGCCUUCGGGUCGUAAAGCUCUGUACUCAAGGAAGAUAAUGACGGUACUUGAGGAGGAAGCCCCGGCUAACUACGUG
This 452-nucleotide ribosomal RNA is filed under the name uncultured bacterium. RNAcentral describes it as "partial 16S ribosomal RNA". It matches the Rfam family "Bacterial small subunit ribosomal RNA", at positions 28 to 507 of the family's 1533-position model. The record is from RNAcentral.